This 492-nucleotide ribosomal RNA is filed under the name uncultured bacterium. RNAcentral describes it as "partial 16S ribosomal RNA". It matches the Rfam family "Bacterial small subunit ribosomal RNA", at positions 29 to 507 of the family's 1533-position model. The record is from RNAcentral.
AGUGAACGCUGGCGGUAGGCCUAACACAUGCAAGUCGAACGGCAGCACAGUAAGAGCUUGCUCUUACGGGUGGCGAGUGGCGGACGGGUGAGGAAUACAUCGGCAUCUACUUUUUCGUGGGGGAUAACGUAGAGACACUUACGCUAAUACCGCAUACGACCUACGGGUGAAAGCAGGGGAUCUUCGGACCUUGCGCGAUUGAAUGAGCCGAUGUCGGAUUAGCUAGUUGGCGGGGUAAAGGCCCACCAAGGCGACGAUCCGUAGCUGGUCUGAGAGGAUGAUCAGCCACACUGGAACUGAGACACGGUCCAGACUCCUACGGGAGGCAGCAGUGGGGAAUAUUGGACAAUGGGCGCAAGCCUGAUCCAGCCAUACCGCGUGGGUGAAGAAGGCCUUCGGGUUGUAAAGCCCUUUUGUUGGGAAAGAAAAGCAGCAGGUUAAUACCCCGCUGUUCUGACGGUACCCAAAGAAUAAGCACCGGCUAACUUCGUG